RNAcentral lists this ribosomal RNA (497 nucleotides) under uncultured bacterium. Its description in RNAcentral is "partial 16S ribosomal RNA". It matches the Rfam family "Bacterial small subunit ribosomal RNA", at positions 28 to 507 of the family's 1533-position model. The record is from RNAcentral.
GAUGAACGCUGGCGGCGUGCCUAAUACAUGCAAGUCGAGCGAACAGACGAGGAGCUUGCUCCUCUGACGUUAGCGGCGGACGGGUGAGUAACACGUGGAUAACCUACCUAUAAGACUGGGAUAACUUCGGGAAACCGGAGCUAAUACCGGAUAAUAUAUUGAACCGCAUGGUUCAAUAGUGAAAGACGGUUUUGCUGUCACUUAUAGAUGGAUCCGCGCCGCAUUAGCUAGUUGGUAAGGUAACGGCUUACCAAGGCAACGAUGCGUAGCCGACCUGAGAGACUGAUCGGCCACACUGGAACUGAGACACGGUCCAGACUCCUACGGGAGGCAGCAGUAGGGCAUCUUCCGCAAUGGGCGAAAGCCUGACGGAGCAACGCCGCGUGAGUGAUGAAGGUCUUCGGAUCGUAAAACUCUGUUAUUAGGGAAGAACAAAUGUGUAAGUAACUAUGCACGUCUUGACGGUACCUAAUCAGAAAGCCACGGCUAACUACGUG